AACGAACGCUGGCGGCAUGCCUAACACAUGCGAGUCGAACGAGACCUUCGGGUCUAGUGGCGCACGGGUGCGUAACGCGUGGGAACCUGCCCUUAGGUUCGGAAUAACUCCCCGAAAGGGGUGCUAAUACCGGAUAAUGUCUUCGGACCAAAGAUUUAUCGCCUUUGGAUGGGCCCGCGUUGGAUUAGCUAGUUGGUAGGGUAAAAGCCUACCAAGGCGACGAUCCAUAGCUGGUCUGAGAGGAUGAUCAGCCACACUGGGACUGAGACACGGCCCAGACUCCUACGGGAGGCAGCAGUGGGGAAUAUUGGGCAAUGGGCGAAAGCCUGAUCCAGCAAUGCCGCGUGAGUGAUGAAGGCCUUAGGGUUGUAAAGCUCUUUUACCCGGGAUGAUAAUGACAGUACCGGGAGAAUAAGCUCCGGCUAACUCCGUG
Molecule: ribosomal RNA, 433 nt
Filed under: uncultured bacterium
Lineage: Bacteria
Description: partial 16S ribosomal RNA
Rfam family: Bacterial small subunit ribosomal RNA
Source: RNAcentral